UCUUGGACAGUUUAAAGUGGGCCUCUGUUCCUGUAAAGUAGAUUGUGGUAAGGACCCGACACGCACACUGGAUUUCAUUCACUAUAGGUUAGUUUUAUUUUCGUUCUGAUGUUCCAGCAUCAGUCACACAGGAACAGCUGCUUCUUCCUCCCAGUCUCCGUCCCCGUCAUCACUAUUUAAAAAUAGAUUCUUUAUUUAUUCAUUUCUUUUAUUUUCUUUCAUUUUCUCUUAAGCUCAAAGGCUGUUUUUAUUUCCACAGUGAUGGCAGCAGCAGCGUUCAGGAGCAGAGGACUGGCUGGUGUCAGAAACACCAACGUUUUAAUCCUCAUCUUUCUGCUGUCCCUGGUUUAUGUCACAAAUUCACUGAUGAAAAUUCAUUGAGAGUAACAAACUAGAGACUACAUCCAAAUAUGCCUUCAGAGGACUCAGGGACCUGACUCACUUGUCUUUGGCAAACAAUAACAUUAAAGCCUUGCCCAGGGACCUCCUCAUUGACCUUGACUCCCUUAUAGAGCUGGACCUGCGAGGCAAUGCCUUUGAAUGUGACUGCAGAGCCAAGUGGCUUAUGACGUGGUUAAAGAACACCAAUGCCACAGUGUCGGAUGUUGUGUGUGCUGGACCAGAGGACAUGAAGGGCAAGCGCCUCAAUGAUAUGACCAGCCUGCAGAAUGAGUGUGUCUCCACAGAUUUCAUCCUUCAUCAGUCUGUUGCCUCAGAAUCGUUGUCUGUUGACACAUUCAGCUAUAAGAAUGAUGUCUACGUGGCCAUUUCUGCUCCCAGCACAGAGAGCUGUAUGAUUUUCCAGUGGACCACAUAGAAAUG
Oreochromis niloticus (Nile tilapia) is the source of this 822-nucleotide long non-coding RNA. RefSeq lists it as uncharacterized. Lineage: Eukaryota; Metazoa; Chordata; Actinopteri; Cichliformes; Cichlidae. The record is from RefSeq and is a predicted model, not a curated record. The transcript has 5 exons.